RNAcentral lists this ribosomal RNA (468 nucleotides) under uncultured bacterium. Its description in RNAcentral is "partial 16S ribosomal RNA". It matches the Rfam family "Bacterial small subunit ribosomal RNA", at positions 28 to 507 of the family's 1533-position model. The record is from RNAcentral.
GACGAACGCUGGCGGCGUGCUUAACACAUGCAAGUCGAACGGAAAGGCCCUGCUUUUGUGGGGUGCUCGAGUGGCGAACGGGUGAGUAACACGUGAGUAACCUGCCCUUGACUUUGGGAUAACUUCAGGAAACUGGGGCUAAUACCGGAUAGGAGCUCCUGCUGCAUGGGGGGGGUUGGAAAGAUUCGGCGGUGGGGGAUGGACUCGCGGCUUAUCAGCUUGUUGGUGGGGUAGUGGCUUACAAAGGCUUUGACGGGUAGCCGGCCUGAGAGCGUGACCGGGCACAAUGGUACUGAGAUACGGCCCAGACUCCUACGGGAGGCAGCAGUGGGGAAUAUUGCACAAUGGGCGGAAGCCUGAUGCAGCAACGCCGCGUGCGGGAUGACGGCCUUCGGGUUGUAAACCGCUUUCGCCUGUGACGAAGCGUGAGUGACGGUAAUGGGUAAAGAAGCACCGGCUAACUACGUG